This 730-nucleotide ribosomal RNA is filed under the name uncultured bacterium. RNAcentral's name for it is "bacterial SSU rRNA". It matches the Rfam family "Bacterial small subunit ribosomal RNA", at positions 771 to 1501 of the family's 1533-position model. The record is from RNAcentral.
AACAGGAUUAGAUACCCUGGUAGUCCACGCUGUAAACGAUGUCGACUUGGAGGUUGUUCCCUUGAGGAGUGGCUUCCGGAGCUAACGCGUUAAGUCGACCGCCUGGGGAGUACGGCCGCAAGGUUAAAACUCAAAUGAAUUGACGGGGGCCCGCACAAGCGGUGGAGCAUGUGGUUUAAUUCGAUGCAACGCGAAGAACCUUACCUACUCUUGACAUCCAGAGAACUUAGCAGAGAUGCUUUGGUGCCUUCGGGAACUCUGAGACAGGUGCUGCAUGGCUGUCGUCAGCUCGUGUUGUGAAAUGUUGGGUUAAGUCCCGCAACGAGCGCAACCCUUAUCCUUUGUUGCCAGCGGUCCGGCCGGGAACUCAAAGGAGACUGCCAGUGAUAAACUGGAGGAAGGUGGGGAUGACGUCAAGUCAUCAUGGCCCUUACGAGUAGGGCUACACACGUGCUACAAUGGCGUAUACAAAGAGAAGCGACCUCGCGAGAGCAAGCGGACCUCAUAAAGUAUGUCGUAGUCCGGAUUGGAGUCUGCAACUCGACUCCAUGAAGUCGGAAUCGCUAGUAAUCGUGGAUCAGAAUGCCACGGUGAAUACGUUCCCGGGCCUUGUACACACCGCCCGUCACACCAUGGGAGUGGGUUGCAAAAGAAGUAGGUAGCUUAACCUUCGGGAGGGCGCUUACCACUUUGUGAUUCAUGACUGGGGUGAAGUCGUAACAAGGUAACC